This 660-nucleotide unclassified non-coding RNA is filed under the name Hevea brasiliensis (rubber tree). The record is from RNAcentral. Lineage: Eukaryota; Viridiplantae; Streptophyta; Magnoliopsida; Malpighiales; Euphorbiaceae.
GAAAUUUAAUUGUUCAAAACUUAGAGCUUUGAAACUACAUGUAAAAAAAAAUUCUUAAUAGCCAUAACAAUCAUAAACAUGAUAUGAAUCAUAAACAUAAAAUUCAACUAUUAUCUUAUUAAUAGAUCUUGAAUAAAUAAAUUCUCACAGAUUUAGAAAAUGUAUUUGAUGCGAAGUUUAAUUGAACUAUAGUGAUAAUUGAGAGAGACCCUUUGAUUUAAUAAACUGAUUUCUCCCUUUUGACAUUUUUUGAUUCACAUACAAAACUUUAGUUAUGAAAAACUUUCUUGAGAUGACCAUAAUAUCUUUGAUUUUAUGAAAGAUAAUGUGCAUGUCCUUAUGAGUGGAGAAAGGACCAGCUUAUAUAUAUAUAUAUGCAUGAUUAAAAUUUACUUUAAUUAAAGUAAUCCUUGUAUAAUUAGGAUCUGUAUUAAUUAAAGUAAAUGUCAAUUAAUAUCGAACCACAUUAAAGAAAUUGAUUUUGACCCAAAUGAUAAUAUUAAUUACAAGGCAAAAAAAUCUUAUAGCUUCCACCAUUAGAAAGCUAUAAUUGGAUUCUAAGGAAUAGAAACUCCAUCAAAUCUCAAUAUAAAAAUAUUUCUUUCAUAUUUUUUUAAAUCCUAUUCUUCAUCAUUCAAUUGUUUUUUUUUUAUAUAAAUC